RNAcentral lists this ribosomal RNA (451 nucleotides) under uncultured organism. RNAcentral describes it as "partial 16S ribosomal RNA". It matches the Rfam family "Bacterial small subunit ribosomal RNA", at positions 329 to 797 of the family's 1533-position model. The record is from RNAcentral.
ACGUACACUCCUACGGGAGGCAGCAGUGGGGAAUCUUGCGCAAUGGGCGAAAGCCUGACGCAGCCAUGCCGCGUGAAUGAUGAAGGUCUUAGGAUUGUAAAAUUCUUUCACCGGGGACGAUAAUGACGGUACCCGGAGAAGAAGCCCCGGCUAACUUCGUGCCAGCAGCCGCGGUAAUACGAAGGGGGCUAGCGUUGCUCGGAAUUACUGGGCGUAAAGGGAGCGUAGGCGGACAUUUAAGUCAGGGGUGAAAUCCCGGGGCUCAACCUCGGAAUUGCCUUUGAUACUGGGUGUCUUGAGUAUGAGAGAGGUGUGUGGAACUCCGAGUGUAGAGGUGAAAUUCGUAGAUAUUCGGAAGAACACCAGUGGCGAAGGCGACACACUGGCUCAUUACUGACGCUGAGGCUCGAAAGCGUGGGGAGCAAACAGGAUUAGAUACCCCUGUAGUCCC